AGAGAAGAAAAGAAGAAGAAGAAGAGAGGGAAGAUGGAGAGGAGAGAGAGAGAGAGGUAGCAGCUGCAACUAGGGCUGCAGCACCUCUGUUUCCCGCAGGUGGAAACAGAGGAGAGGAUGUGUGGGGCGUUGGGGAGGAAAAGGGAAGAGGAAGAAGAAGAAGAAGAAGAAGAGAGGAGGAUAGCUGUGGCGAGGCUGCAGCGAGGAGGUGUGUGGCGUUGGGGAGGAAAAAGGAAGAGGAGAAGAAGAGAAGGAGAAGAGAGGGAAGAGGGAGAGGAGCGAGAGGUGGUAGCAGCUAGGGCUGCAGCACCUCUGUUUCCUGCAGGUGGAAACAGAGGAGAGGUGUGGGGCGUUCGAAGAGGAGAAGAAGAAGAAGAGGAAGUAGGAGAAGAGGUUGUGAUACCUCUGUUUCCUGCAGAGGAAACAGAGGAGAGGGUGUGUGUGACGCUGGGGAGGAGGAGGGAAGAAGAAGAGGAGAAGAAGAAGAGAAGGGAAAGGAGGAGCUGCGGCGGUGGAAUCUGCAGCUUGAAGAGAAGGAGAGGAAG
RNAcentral lists this long non-coding RNA (545 nucleotides) under Musa acuminata (dwarf banana). RNAcentral describes it as "long non-coding RNA (MACU_LNC008172)". The record is from RNAcentral. Lineage: Eukaryota; Viridiplantae; Streptophyta; Magnoliopsida; Zingiberales; Musaceae.